UGUGAUUAACACAUUUUGUGAUUAAUGUCAUUUUGUAAUUAACUCUCUCAUUGAUUCAUUUUGUGAUUAACUGUGUUUUAAAUCACUCAGGUUCAGGUAUGAUGUCGACAACAAACAGAGCCAUUGAAUUGAGUGUUAAAAUAUUCCACUGUUUUCUCCCUGCAGAUCCAAACAUCAYCGUCACUGAACCCACAGUGAAAGUCCUWSCACCCUCCACUAAGGAGUGUGAAGACAMAAACAAGAAGAAGAAGAAGACCCUGGUGUGUGUGGUCACCCACUUCUACCCCGACCACGUCACGGUCUACUGGCAAGUCAACAAUGUCAACACAACUGCAGGCGCCGGGACCGACAACAAGGCCUUGUGGGAUAAAGAUAGUUUAUACAGUAUCACCAGCAGACUGAGAGUCCCAGCCAAUGACUGGCACAACCCAAAGAACAGUUUCACCUGCAAUGUCAUCUUUUACAAUGGGACUGGAAAUACAACUGCGAAACACACCAUUAGUGGAGAUCUCCAWGGUCAAAUUGGGGGAGAGAUACAGUAUGCAGAGGUCAUCAGUACAC
Molecule: non-coding RNA, 561 nt
Organism: Salvelinus sp. IW2-2015
Lineage: Eukaryota; Metazoa; Chordata; Actinopteri; Salmoniformes; Salmonidae
Source: the annotation of a RefSeq genome assembly